This 3274-nucleotide long non-coding RNA is filed under the name Marmota monax (woodchuck). The record is from RNAcentral. Lineage: Eukaryota; Metazoa; Chordata; Mammalia; Rodentia; Sciuridae.
CGCUAACCGCGCACGGAGCGGGCUCCCGCGCUCGUCCGCCUGCGGGGCUGCUCUAACGCCCGGGUUUUGUUUACGAGAGCAGCUGGGGGGAUACGCCGGGCGCGGGGAGCAGGGAACCGGGACCUAGGGUCGAAGGGGUUGCGGCGGAGGCCCAGGGCUAGGACUAAGGGGAGGCUGCGAGGGCGGCUGACAGGUGUGGAACCGCGGGAGCGAGGCCCCGGGGAGGCGCGCGGCAGACACGGUCAAGCCAGUAGCUGGAGGGAACAAGGGGCCCCUGUGACAGGGGGUGGGUUUCCCCAGGGUCAGGGGAAUGAGGUAGAGGGGGAAAGCAGGCGCCACACACUCUCUUUCUGGACAAUCCCUGGGGCCAGGGCCUGAGCUCCCAUAUUUGAAAAGGUUCUCAAAUCUCCCUUGGCAACGGAGUCCCAGGCUUUCAAACCUAGCACUUAGAAAGUUCUGCUCACUAUCUAACCCUAAUGAUCACGACUAACAUUUAUUGAGCACGUAUUGCGUGCUGGGCGCUGUUCUAAAUGCACCAUGUGGAUUAAGACUCAUUUAAUAUAACAACCGUAUUAAUUAGUGACUGUUAUUGUUCCUACUUAGCAAUGGAGGCGAAUGAUCAUGGAGAGAUUAUGGAACUUGCCAGGCUCCUACUGCUAGUGAACAUCAGAAUCGAGAUUUGAAUCCUUAUCUAGUUCCAGAUCCUCUAACACAAGCCUUGCUAGUCAAGUGCCACCUGUGGCCAAUACAAUAACCCUCCGACAUCAUUCUUUGCGGUGAGACUGGAAAGUUCCUCAAAUCAAAUGCAACAACGGAUGUCAUCCUACCCAGCCAACCGUCUAAUUUUAGAGCCAGUUACUCUUGUGUCCCUAGAGGCUCUCCCUCUGACCCUGAAGUCUGGCCACCUCACCCAGGGAGCGACUAUCAGCUGCGUUGCCCCCAAGCCACCAGCAAUUUAUGGAAAACAGCAAAUCAUUGUGCACAGGGAAGUAGGUUCAUGAUUUCUCAGAGGUCUUCCCAGAGGGUGCCCAAAUACCCCCCAGCAUCCUGAGGCAGCUGCCCUUACAGUCCGGCAGGUGGGGAAAGGGUUAGGAAUUCUGUGGGUCCUCAGGACACCAUCCGUGUUCCUUCCCAGGCUUUUCCCGCGGUCAGGGGCUCCAGGGAGAGCAACUGAUUUUUGUUGCCUUUUCUUCCUGCCCUCCAAGUCCCUGAGCUCUUCAAGGACUCUUUGAGAGGGAGGGAGAGGUCAGGAAGGGGAAAGGUUUCCUCAGAGGCCGAGUCUUGCGCAAGGAGGAGCUGUUGAAGGUUUGCAUUUCUAGGACAAUACCUCAAGUUCUCUCCACUGCUAGUGGGCAAGAUGCUUGGGUUUUUGCCCUAGAGGCCCGUUGAGGGCUUAUAUUAGGGCUGGGGGUGUUGCUCAGUGGUAGAGCACUUUCCCAGCGUGCAUCAGUCCGCCCAUUCAAUCCCCAGCACCCCACCCCCCAAAAGGAAAAGAUCACUUCAUCAGUGGCUCUCAAAUGCUGAAUUUAGAGUGGUCGUCUUUCCGCUCAUGAGCCUCUCCUUUGAGUUAGUGAUCUAAGGUCAUGCUGUUGGGGAUGGUGGUUGGAGUGCUGGUGGAGGAAGAAGGUUCCCAGGUUAAUCCCAGGAGAUCUUAGGCAAGGCAAACCAGAUGGUUUACCUGCUCCAAAACAAUCAGGCCGUACUCCCCCAUUCCCCACCUGCCUGGGAUGUCUGAAGAAUUUUUGCACUGCUGAAAACACAAAAGUGGAUCUAGAAAACCUCUGCCUCAGCUCACAGACCCCUGAGCAGCUUAGUAGGGGAUUUGUGUGCUGGUCUUUUGACAGUUGUCCCUGUGAGUGAUGAACACAAUCGGUUUUCCUGUCUUCAUGGAUGGGCUGUGGCAGUGUUGUUAUGUGCUGAGAAGCAGCGUUCAGUUCCAUUCUGGAGAUAGUUUUACUUCACUGGUAACCAAGUCAUUUCUCUAAGUCCCAUGGAGUUGGUACAAUCAGUCGCAGACCAUCUCGGGAGCUAUUUGGAUUAGACAUACGCUAUGGUGCGGCAUUUUGAUCACUACUCAAUUCAUUGCUGCCUCAUUUUGAAAAAGAAACAACAUCUUAAAAAUACUACCAGCAAGAAGUAAAAAUGGCUUUGAUGGCUACAGUUUCUCCUCAUUCUAAGAGACCAUAAGCCCCACUCUUGCAAGCAGCCUUCUUUUUCCUUCCGUUUAAUUGUAUGCAGACUCCUACAGUGAAAGAAAAUCAGAAUCCGUGCUUACUUUUUGGCAUGAAAAAUGUAGGCGACUAGGAAGCCUGGAAAUGCAUUCUUUGCUGAUUCUUCCUCAUUUUGCACAAACACGGUUGCCCCUUCCCAAUUUUCUUGUGUACUAAAGCUCCACCUUCAGGACACAAGUUCACAUUUGAAAAGUGUGGGAAAUCUGAUCGACUGAAAUAAAUAUUUAGGCAUGUGCGUUCUAUAUCUCUUUGAUCACUUUCCCUUGGACACUGCCAUCUGGCCCAAGGGUGCAUGUCCCAUCAGUGAUGAAGCUUCCCUCUUCAACUGGCUGAGCUCGUCUUGUUGGGUGUCACAUCACAUCUCAGAACUCCUUGUAACACAACUGGCUGAAACCCAAACAAAAGAAGAUGGUACAGAUUUAUCCUCCAGACAGAGGCCUGCUACCACGGAAACAGGCCGUGCAGACUGAUUCGAGCAGUUUUAUUUGCAGCGUUCACUAGAUAGGCAAGUCUUCAUAAUGAGAAAAUAUCAACUCCCCCAGGCACCAAAGGCAAUCUAGGUUAACCAGGCCAUCCACAAUCACACUCAUUUCUGCUGGACAGGACUUUAUAGAUUCAGUGGUUUCCUGCUGAGACUCGAGACAUUAAGAACUAUUCUGGAAGCAAUUGGUCACAAUCACAAGAUGGUUAUCAUUGGUGGUUCACUUUUCUGUUGGACUUUUUUUUUUUUUUUUAAAUCUGGCCAUAGUCCUUAGGGCUGAUUGGGCUGGCAAAGAUUAAAACAAACAAACAAAACGAAGAGUUUAGUUCUGAUGGUCAACAAAUUCUGUCUAUACCUUGUCUAUGUAGGUGCCACCACCCCCCCCCCCCCCCCCCCGCCCCGCCCUGCCAGAGUUUGGGAAAUACUACCCAAUGGGUUGAAGUGUAUCCAUGUCAUCCUAGGAUUUAAGACAGGCCUCUCCCCUCCUCAGCUUUGCUCAUAUCUAUGUGGCUUUCCACAUUCAGGACCUUAUCAAAGCUGAUGAACCCCUUUUGGUGACUAG